UGGAUCCAGACUUUGAUUAUGGCUCAGGAUGAACGCUGGCGGCAUGCCUAAGACAUGCAAGUCGAACGCGAGGGCCCAUGAAGGGAAACGGAGGUUGGAGGUGCUUGCACCAAAGAUGGAGGUUUACCGGAAUGGAAUAUCCCUCGAGUGGCAAACGGGUGAGUAACACGUGGGUAACCUACCUCUAUGUUGGGGAUAACAGUUGGAAACGACUGCUAAUACCGAAUGUGCUCUAAGGAGUAAAGGAGCCUUUAAAGCUUCGCGUAGAGAUGGGCCUGCGGUGCAUUAGCUAGUUGGUGGGGUAAGGGCCUACCAAGGCAACGAUGCAUAGCCGAGCUGAGAGGUUGAUCGGCCACACUGGGACUGAGACACGGCCCAGACUCCUACGGGAGACAGCAGUUAGGAAUAUUCGUCAAUGGGGGGAACCCUGAACGAGCAAUGCCGCGUGAAUGAAGAAGGCCCUAUGGGUUGUAAAAUUCUGUUGUAUGGAAAGAAAGAUAUGAAUAGGAAAUGAUUUGUAUUUGACGGUACCAUUCAAGAAAGCCACGGCUAACUACGUGCCAGCAGCCGCGGUAAUACGUAGGUGGCGAGCGUUAUCCGGAUUUAUUGGGCGUAAAGCGUGCGCAGGCGGUUUGAUAAGUCUAAAAUUAAAGUCCGAAGCUUAACUUCGGUUCGUUUUAGAAACUGUCAGGCUAGAGUGCGGUAGAGGCAAAUGGAAUUUCUAGUGUAGCGGUAAAAUGCGUAGAUAUUAGAAGGAACACCAGUGGCGAAGGCGAUUUGCUGGGCCGCAACUGACGCUCAUGCACGAAAGCGUGGGGAGCAAAUAGGAUUAGAUACCCUAGUAGUCCACGCCGUAAACGAUGAGUACUAAGUGUCGGGAAACCGGUGCUGAAGUUAACACAUUAAGUACUCCGCCUGAGUAGUACGGUCGCAAGGCUGCAAGUCAAAUGAAUUGACGGA
Molecule: ribosomal RNA, 960 nt
Filed under: uncultured Bacillota bacterium
Lineage: Bacteria; Bacillati; Bacillota
Description: bacterial SSU rRNA
Rfam family: Bacterial small subunit ribosomal RNA
Source: RNAcentral